UACGUAGGGGGCAAGCGUUGUCCGGAAUUACUGGGCGUAAAGGGCGUGUAGGCGGCCGAUCAAGUCAGGUGUGAAAUUCCAGGGCUCAACCCUGGACGUGCACUUGAAACUGGUUGGCUUGAGUGCAGAAGAGGAAAGUGGAAUUCCCAGUGUAGCGGUGAAAUGCGUAGAUAUUGGGAGGAACACCAGUGGCGAAGGCGACUUUCUGGUCUGUAACUGACGCUGAGGCGCGAAAGCUAGGGGAGCAAACAGG
Molecule: ribosomal RNA, 253 nt
Filed under: uncultured prokaryote
Description: partial 16S ribosomal RNA
Rfam family: Bacterial small subunit ribosomal RNA
Source: RNAcentral